GAAAUGCGAUAAGUAAUGUGAAUUGCAGAAUUCCGUGAAUCAUCGAAUCUUUGAACGCACAUUGCGCCCUCUGGUAUUCCGGGGGGCAUGCCUGUCCGAGCGUCAUUACGCACCCUCAAGCGCGGCUUGUGUGUUGGGCCCCUGCGUCCCCGCGUUCCUGGGGGACGGGCCCGAAAGGCAGUGGCGGCGUCGCGAUCAUCCGAUCAGCCAGAGCGUAUGGGGACUCUGUUCACACGUUCGGGGCGCGGACCGACGCCUGCCCGGUCACCGACCGUUUUUCUUCCACGGUUGACCUCGGAUCAGGUAGGGAUACCCGCUGAACUUAA
RNAcentral lists this unclassified non-coding RNA (326 nucleotides) under uncultured Eurotiomycetes. RNAcentral describes it as "sequence contains ITS1". The stretch from base 1 to 105 matches the Rfam family "5.8S ribosomal RNA", at positions 50 to 154 of the family's 154-position model. The record is from RNAcentral. Lineage: Eukaryota; Fungi; Ascomycota; Eurotiomycetes.